UGCUGCAUUAUCUUAAUUUUAGGGGUCCAAUAGGUUUUGUGGCACCGGAUACAUUUUAUUAGUGUAAUGGCUCUUAUGAUAGUGAAGGUUGCUGCCCCCUGGUGCUCGGUAUCAGGUAAAGGAAGAACAGAAAGUCUGUUCGGAGAAAUGUAGAGGCCAGCUCCAUGGAUGAUAGGUAGGCCAUUGAACUCUCUCUCGCGUGAUAAUUAACCUGACAACAGGAAUGUUGUGUCGUGGAACAUGACACUAUUAAUAGCAGUUGGGUGGAGAGCGGCAGACACCGCCCACACACAAGGAAGUGAGAGUUUGCCUCGGUGUUUGAUUACAAUAACACAAUAUGGUAAUUAUUAAUGUUAGCGUUUGAGAACACCAGCGAGACCAAUAACACCACUAAUUCAAGAUGGUUUAUAUAAUCAGCUUCUCUCUUGAUCUCAAACUGUAAACUUCAACAGUUAAGACAGGAAAAACAGGAUAACUUAUUAAUUGGAAAAUAUGUACACAAACUAAUGUAUACCAGACACACUAACUUUAACCUUGGAAGCCAAGUAAAAACUGUUUGUGAGUUGGAAAUGCAGAUGUGCUGAAUCCAAUGCAUAUUUUAUACUCGAAGUGCAGGUAUGAAAUAUGUAUAUGGUAUGCUCUCAGGGUCAGAGCAGCCCCUUGUGAUUGGUUGUUUGUGUCUGAGACACGCGCAUGCGCACAGACGCACCACUGUCAUUUGCCCACACCUUUCCCCCUUGCCACCACCAGGUGGUGCUGCUGCGCAACAUUCUUUUUUUUCUGGCUCAAAGUUUUUAAUUUUGGGUUUCAUGCAGUCGCCGAGAGGAAUGAUGCUUCAUUUGAUCCUCGUCGUGGACUCUAUGAGAAGUCAGCUGUGUAGCAACAAGUUGGAAAAUCCGUCAAAGACUGAAAAAAACAAACGAUUUUUCUGUUAUAUUAUCAGGGCAACUGGGAGCUGUUGCAUUCAGUAGCAUGUUUUUUGUUCUUUAAACUUUUUUUAACAGAAGGACCUAUUCAACCUACGGUGCAAUUUUUCCAGCUCGGAUGGGAAACUCCUAACAUGCACAAUUAAACAUUUAACAUUUAAUUUGCGCGUUGUAGUUGUUGUUUAAAAAUCCAAAACGAUGCACUUUUCCCUCGUGGUGGUUGUGUUGUUUUGCGCGCAACACCACCCCACCGCAGCGGUCCCCAAACCCAGCAAGUGUUCCCCCCGUUGUGACGUCACUAAGUGCCCCAGUCCCAUCUGUCUCGGCGGCUACGUGCCGGACCACUGUAACUGCUGCCUGGUCUGCGUCCGGGCGGAGGGGGACGCCUGCGGCGCAAAAAACGACCCUCCCUGCGGACAGGGGCUGGAGUGUAAACUGCUCUCUAGUCCGGUGAAGCGGCCGGCCUCGAAGCGGACGUGCCAGUGUAAGACGACCCACAGGGUGUGUGGCAGUGAUGGGAAGACGUAUGGCAACGUGUGCAAGCUGAGAGCAGCCAGCCGUAAGGUGAUCCAGAAGGGACUGCCCGCUGUCACACGGAUCAACAAGGGACCCUGUCUUCCGUCGGACACAGGUCGUGUGGCCCUCCACCCCAACAGCGCCCGCUACCGCUUCAACUUCAUCGCCGACGUGGUGGAGAAGAUCGCGCCGGCCGUCGUCCACAUCGAGCUCUACCUGCGACACCCUCUGUACGGGCGUAACGUCCCUCUGUCCAGCGGCUCUGGGUUCGUGAUGACCCAGUCGGGGCUGAUCGUCACCAACGCCCACGUGGUCACGCCCGCUGCCACGGUAACCGGGCGGCCCCACGUGCGCGUGCGUCUGCACAGCGGGGAGGCCUACGAGGCGACAAUCAGGGACCUGGACAGGAAGUCCGACAUCGCCACCAUCAAGGUCACCGCAGAGAAGAAGCUCCCGGUCCUGUCUCUGGGCCGAUCGGCCGACGUCCGGCCCGGUGAGUUUGUGGUCGCCAUCGGCAGUCCCUUCGCGCUGCAGAACACCGUCACCACGGGGAUAGUGAGCACCACCCAGCGCGACGGCAAGGAGCUGGGCAUACGGGACUCGGACAUCGACUACAUCCAGACGGACGCCAUUAUAAACUAUGGGAACUCUGGAGGACCGCUGGUGAACUUGGAUGGCGAGGUGAUAGGCAUCAACACUCUGAAAGUCACAGCAGGGAUCUCAUUCGCCAUUCCUGCCGACCGCAUCAAACGCUUCCUUACUGAGUCCCAGAACAAGAACAAAGGCCAGACUUCAAAGAGUGCUCUACCAACAAACACAGAAACCCCAAUCUGACACAGAAGCAAAGAGACGCAUCCUCGGAAUCCAAAUGCUCACUCUGACGGAAGCGCUCAAAGCGGAGCUGAAGUUCAGUAACCCGGACUUCCCUGACAUCAGUGGAGGGGUUCUGGUCCACCAGGUGGUCCCAGGCUCUCCUGCUGCCGCGAGCGGCAUCCAGAUCGGCGACGUCAUCGUCCAGCUGAACGGCCGGCCGCUGCUGACGGCCGACGGCCUGCACGCCGCGUUGCUAGGCGACAAGCCCCUCCUCC
Molecule: RNA transcript, 2530 nt
Organism: Gadus morhua (Atlantic cod)
Lineage: Eukaryota; Metazoa; Chordata; Actinopteri; Gadiformes; Gadidae
Gene: htra3a
Gene name: HtrA serine peptidase 3a
Exons: 10
Source: RefSeq, a predicted model, not a curated record